Molecule: ribosomal RNA, 32 nt
Filed under: uncultured Cantharellus
Lineage: Eukaryota; Fungi; Basidiomycota; Agaricomycetes; Cantharellales; Hydnaceae
Description: partial 18S ribosomal RNA
Source: RNAcentral
GGUCCGUAGGUGACCUGCGGAAGGAUCAUUCA